GUGGGGUGUCCGUUCGGGGUUUGUCGCCCUCCAGGCUGGGUUCGGGAGCCCAGGCGGGACAAGUGGUGCUGCGCCCACAGUCACCUUUGCUGUAACGCAGCAGCCAGGCUGGACCUCCUGAGUGACUCUGCUCGGAAGCCUGGAGAGCCUGGCUCAAGCCCGUACUUGUCCCCUGGGAUGCUGGGCAGAUCAUUUACGCUCCUCAAUCCUGUGUUUUCGUGAGUAAAACGGUCCCAGAGAAUGAGGACCUCAGUAUCCACUCCCAACAUGUCCGGUGGAAGCUGUGAGCAUGUGGUCCUCUCAGUGCUGCCUGUGAUGCCAUCAUGGGAUCCACAGGUGUAGCGUCAUGUCUGGAAGUGUAACAGCUCCUCGAUGUGAAGUGGCUCAUCUGCGCAAAUUGCCUCCCAUGCAGUUGGAUGUGACCAUGUGACCACAUUCUCAAGCUGUGUGGAUCAGAAUGUUGCUGCUGCUCCUGCUGCUGAUUUUGAUCGCCUGGGCAGGGAUUCUUUGGUUGCAAAUGUUUUCUUUCAGAUAUUUGUGGGAGGCUCUGAGAAGAGUGCUUGCAUUCCACAUGUUGGCUGAGGAACUUCUGACUGGAGAAGCUCAGAGAGCAGGAGGGACAGUGAUGGAUCUCUCGCUUUGGUUCUGCUGAAAGAGGAAAUUUUUGGUCAUGUAGAUGUUGUGUUGUAUACUUUGUCUCCUGGUAAGGCCUGCCCCACUACUUAUCUUUGCUGUGUUGACAGUGCAAGAUCUGUCUUCUGCCAAGUGUUCAUAUAUUUUUCUAUUCCACUGUUACUUAUUACAUUGUCUGCAUAAAUCCAGAAAGCCCAAUCAAGGGUCCUUUUUAUGUAUCACCCAGACUAGGUAACUUCAAGUAGUAUCAGAGGCAGCUUUCCUCCUUUACAGAAACGGAACUACGUACAAUGACCAUUCUCCACACAGAAGCACCUUCUAAGUCGUAUGACUCUGUGACAGUGUCUGCAGUGAUUUUAUUCUACUGAGAGACAACAGCCCUUUGAUGACUUAGAUGGAACAUGGCAGUAAAUAUGAACUUGAGUCUCCCCAUUUAAAAAGACAUUUAAUUGAGGACCAGUAGGUGUCUGGAUCUCUAUCUGAAUGUGGGAUUUAGAUUGGAUGAGACAGAGCAGUACAGUCUCAUGGACUAAAGGACUCUGGCUCCUGCUGCCCCAACUAAGCUUUAAACGGCCUCUCUUUCAUUUUCCACAAAUCCUAACAUGAAAAUAUAUCCUUCAUACUUUAUUUUAUUCGGUCUUAGCUCAUUUCAAAUAUAGUAGGAAGUCCUUUCAAAAUAUUUCUUCAACCAAGUAUGGGGAUAUAUAUCAAACUCCCAAUUGGAUUCAUCUUCUGCCAACCCAUCAUCCUCUCUCACUUAGAGAUGAAGUAAUCUCGGGGGGGGAUUCUUCACUGCAGUCCCUCUCCAAAAUUAACCAAAGUAUCAUCUUAAAACAGAGAACAUGCCACUCUCCAGUUGAAAAUUGCACAAUUGUUCUGUCUCAGUCGGGAAGCCCCCCCAGUGUCUCAGCUCGGAUCAAUGGCUCCAGGGCAUAUGUAUCUAUGUAUCUAUGGGUUCUCAGCCACAAACCACACAUACCUCACCUCUCUUGUGCCUCAGGGCCUCUCUCUGAGCAGGCCCCCUCUGCCUGGAAUCCUUUACCCACUGGUGUUGGCACAUCUCAGAUGUUAUCUUCAGAGAGAGCCCUUCCCUGUCCAAGCUCUGCCAUACCCCAUCCUCCCCUCACACUGGUCCCCAGGCACUUUUCCAGGACUGGUUGCUGUGUGAUGUUAUGCACAUACAUACAUAUGUAUAUGGGUUUUCCUUAUUCAUUCACUCAUCAGCUGCUCAAGAGCUGUGAUUCUGAUAAUCUUGUACCAUCUCCAGGUCCUGGAAGGCAGUCCGGAACAGAGUAGGAACUCCCAUGACAGUUAACUAAAUUAUGAGUGAAUGCACGUCAACAUACACAUUCCAUGUAGUAAAAUAAGCAAAAUUGAGCAAAUUAAGAAGAAAGAACUAAAAGGGCAGAGGAAGCUGCCUUAGUGAGGGAGGUGGUAGGUGCCUGAAAACUUGAUUUUUUUGUCUCUAAGUCUUUCAUCACUAUAGUCUGUUACACAGGUUAUGCAUGAAGUAUUUAAAAAACCAUAACAAAAAUGAAAAAUCUAAAAAUUAUCUCUAAGACGCAUAUGAAAUCACUCCUUAUUUCUGAAGCAUCUGAAUUGCAAUCUUACUGAUUUUAGACAAGAUUUUACUCUACUUGAGAGCUGGACAUGGAAAUUGCCAAGGAGAAUUCUUUCUUUUCUUUCUGUUUUGAAGAGCAGUGGUACCCACCUUUCACUGCUGAGAGCUCGCCCUUCCACUUGCUUCCCCACUUGAUGCCCAGCUCCUGGCCGUACUCGUCCCCGUACCAGACCAGCAGUUCGCAGCCUGGCUUGAUAACCCGGCAGGUUCGGUAGAAGAUCUGCCUCUGGUAUUGAAAGGCCACCAGGUUCUGCUCCUCAUCAUCCCUGGCACAGUUCACAUACCUGGGAUUGAGGCAGGUAAAGGGAAAGAGAACCACAGGAGAAAAGUUCCCAUUACGUGUCAGAUCUGCCCCUGAUGCUUAAGGCCUCCAUGCUGUGAGGCUGCCCACGCCUCAACUCCUCAGGAACCUUCUGUUCAUACUUAAGUCUCUCUCACAGGAUCAUCUGAAUUCUCAUCUCUAAGUUCAGCUUACUGCCCUCAGCCUUCCUCUAAUGCUAUCCCCCUUGCUUGAUUAACCAUUUUCCAAAUCCCAAUUCCAGGCUUACUGCCACCUUAAUUGGUCACAAAACCCAGUGACCUUUUGUUUCUCUAAACUCUAAGUUAAGUUAUGUUUUAUACCCCAGAACUUGGUGCUUGACCAUGGACUCUGCUUCUAGAUCAACACACAUAUCAUUCCAUACUCAGCCCAAAUGUGGCUAUCUUCCUUUGAGAGAGCUUCUCCAAUUCUCCCUACACGGCAUCUGAGGUACCAUUCACUUGCCUUCCCUGAGUUCUCAUAGAACCUUGGAGCUUUCUUUGUCUUAGUAAAAUGACACAGAAAAGCAAUAUCUUAUAUACAUACUGCAGCCCCUGAUAAAAUAAGAGCCCCUCAAAGAAACGGGUUGGGUCAUGAAGCACAGAGACCUGUGGCCAUACUGCAGUCCCUUCCUAUACACACUUCAGAACCCAGUUCUAUUAGAACUGAGGCUAGGAAGAGCUGCUGCCCUCACAUGUUGAAGGUCCCUUGUUUGAGGCUAUCUCUCCACUGUAUACCUCUUGAAAGAUAGGGAAAUUAAAGUUAAAUAUUCUUAAACCCAAUUGUCUACUAUCUGCCUGCAAUAUGUCUUCCAUAGGACCUGGGUUGCAUAAUGUAUUUAACUAAUGAACUCCAUUGUCUAAACUGGAACACAAUAAAUGCUUAUAAAUGUUGAUCAGAUAAAUUAAAGUGUGAAUCCAGGGUUCCCGAUGAA
Suricata suricatta (meerkat) is the source of this 3486-nucleotide long non-coding RNA. RefSeq lists it as uncharacterized. The record is from RefSeq and is a predicted model, not a curated record. The transcript is spliced from 5 exons. Lineage: Eukaryota; Metazoa; Chordata; Mammalia; Carnivora; Herpestidae.